Salvia miltiorrhiza (redroot sage) is the source of this 535-nucleotide long non-coding RNA. RefSeq lists it as uncharacterized. The transcript is spliced from 3 exons. The record is from RefSeq and is a predicted model, not a curated record. Lineage: Eukaryota; Viridiplantae; Streptophyta; Magnoliopsida; Lamiales; Lamiaceae.
UUUAGCAUUAAACAAAAUCAUUUUCUCUCCCUUCCUCCCCUCUCAUUUUCGUCCAUCUCUCUCUCCCUCUCUACUCUCACUAUUUUCUUUUCAAUCCAUCAUGGAAGAACACUCCAAAGCUUCUAAACACAUAGAUCCACCAUCACCAUUCCUAGAGCUAGCCUUCAAUCACCAAGAAUCAAGAGAAUGAUCAAGCUAGAGUUUCCAAACCAAAGUGUAUCAAAGAGUUCGCCAUUUUCUUAAAUAUUGAGGGUUCGGGCGACAGGAAGUGAAGCCGAAGAAGAAGCGACUCCACGCUAGCUUAAGAACGUUUGAGGUUGAGCAGCUGAUGGAAUGGAAUGGUGUUGAGCGGGUGUUCCUUUUUCAUUUCAAGAAAUGAAACCUUGAGUAUGCAUCUCCAUAUGCAUAACUCACACGUUUUCCGCUACAAACACUCUGACUUAUUUAUCGUUUCUACUUGAACUUAUUACUACUUCAUUUUGACUAACUUUCAUUUGGGGUCUAGUCGUUAUGGCAGGCUCGUUUGUAAAUUACC